GUCACAGGGGACAUUUGAUAAAAUUGGAAUGAUACAGAGAAUAUUAGCAUGGCCCUGCACAUAGAUAACACACACAAAUCGAGAAAUGGUAUCUGAGCCU
Molecule: small nuclear RNA, 100 nt
Organism: Humulus lupulus (European hop)
Lineage: Eukaryota; Viridiplantae; Streptophyta; Magnoliopsida; Rosales; Cannabaceae
Source: RefSeq, a predicted model, not a curated record